CAUACACUAGCAGUGGUAUUGGACGGUGCCCCUCCCGGCAACCCCUGAUUAGCAUCGGCUACAAUCCAUCUCAGCUGCUAGAGAACGCCAAGCUUGCUUGGCAUGGUGUUGGUCGUCGAUAUGACCCUGGUCCAGGAAUCCAACAGCAGACGGCACGCGGCAUCGUCGAUAAGCAAGGAUGUCUGGUGUUUAGGCAUGUAGAUAAGCUGACUGGUUUGCUCAGAUUCACUGACCUCCUCGAUGGGGCAAUUAUGCACUUGGCAGCUGGCUGCCGCCGUCGGCGGUGUAGCUGGUGGUCUUGCGGCGGCAACAAAUUGUUGACUUAGUUUUUUGACAGGGAAAGUCACUGACUUGAUACAUGUUUUCUCUGUUGUGAUGUGUAGCUGCAUGCUGCACUGUUUUGUAGUUGUUGAAAGUUGAGAGCAUGAGCUAGCUCCAUGUGUGAGGAGUCUGUUGACAGGGGAACUAGCUGUGAGUUGUCUCCUUUUUGUCGGUGACACGUAGCUCCAUGCUGCACUCUUUUGUUGCCAUUUGUUACUUGAGAACCUGGGCUGGCUAUAUCUAUGUGGCGAUUUGUGUGUU
Long non-coding RNA from Lolium rigidum, 582 nucleotides. RefSeq lists it as uncharacterized. The record is from RefSeq and is a predicted model, not a curated record. The transcript has 2 exons. Lineage: Eukaryota; Viridiplantae; Streptophyta; Magnoliopsida; Poales; Poaceae.